Molecule: ribosomal RNA, 669 nt
Filed under: uncultured metazoan
Lineage: Eukaryota; Metazoa
Description: SSU rRNA
Rfam family: Eukaryotic small subunit ribosomal RNA
Source: RNAcentral
AUUCCAGCUCCAAUAGCGUAUAUUAAAGUUGUUGCGGUUAAAAAGCUCGUAGUUGGAUCUCAGUUCCGGACCGACGGUGCGCCCUCGGCGAUUUACUGUCGGUCCGAACAGCUAGUCGGCUCGCUCGGGGUGCUCUUCACCGGGUGUCCCGCGUGGCCGGCAUGUUUACUUUGAAAAAAUUAGAGUGCUCAAAGCAGGCUAAUGCCUGAAUAGUUGUGCAUGGAAUAAUGGAAUAGGACCUCGGUUCUAUUUUGUUGGUUUUCGGAACCCGAGGUAAUGAUUAAUAGAGACGGACGGGGGCAUUCGUAUUGCGACGCUAGAGGUGAAAUUCUUGGACCGUCGCAAGACGUACUACUGCGAAAGCAUUUGCCAAGAACGUUCUCAUUAAUCAAGAACGAAAGUUAGAGGUUCGAAGGCGAUCAGAUACCGCCCUAGUUCUAACCAUAAACGAUGCUGACUAGCGAUCCGUCUGUGUUAAUCCCAUGACUAGACGGGCAGCUUCCGGGAAACCAAAGUCUUUGAGUUCCGGGGGAAGUAUGGUUGCAAAGCUGAAACUUAAAGGAAUUGACGGAAGGGCACCACCAGGAGUGGAGCCUGCGGCUUAAUUUGACUCAACACGGGGAACCUCACCAGGCCCGGACACCGGAAGGAUUGACAGAUUGAGAGCUC